UAGGAGAGGCCACAAGGGUAUCGAGCUGUUGGACAUCACUACUCGUUAGAGCAACGCGUGUCCAAACCACAGUGAGGUAUCGCCUCACGUCCAUCAGGGCGACUGUGAUAUUUUUAAAAAGGAAGAUCAUGAAUGUGGGUGAGGAUGUGGAGAGGUCGGAGCCCAUGUGAGCGGCUGGUGGGUCUCCGAGCUCGUGAAACUGCUGUGGCAACCAGCGUGAGGCUUCCUCAAAAAUUAAAAACAGAACUGCCGCAUGACUCAGCAGCCUCCCUUCUGGGUGUGCGUCCAGUGGAGACGAAACGGGGUCUCGCAGGCAUGUCUGCACACCCCUGCAGUUGACAGCUGUUCACAGCUGCAGGAGCUGGGACCAACCCCAGCGUCCACCAGCCGAUGAAGACGAGCAGAAGGUGGUGUGUACCGUGGCCGUGACUCAGCCUUUAAAAGUUUGGAAAUCUCGCCACAGGCUACGAUCUGGAUGGAUUUCCAACCAUUAUGCCGAGUGAAAUAAGCCAGUCACCAAGAGACAAACCCAGGCUUGGCCCUCUGGCGUUCCCCUGCUGGGGCAGGCGUUGGACAGGGAGGAGUUUCAGUUUUGCAAGAUGAAAAGCUCUGGGAGAUCCGCUUCACAGCGGUGUCCAUGUAUUGAUCCUCACCGAAAUAUAUGCUGAAAAUGCUUAACAGGGUGAAUUUUGUGUUCUGUGUUUU
This 705-nucleotide long non-coding RNA is filed under the name Marmota monax (woodchuck). The record is from RNAcentral. Lineage: Eukaryota; Metazoa; Chordata; Mammalia; Rodentia; Sciuridae.